GUAAUACGUAGGUGGCAAGCGUUGUCCGGAUUUAUUGGGCGUAAAGCGAGCGCAGGCGAAUGAUAAGUCUGAUGUGAAAGCCCACGGCUCAACCGUGGAACUGCAUCGGAAACUGUCAUUCUUGAGUGCAGAAGAGGAGAGUGGAACUCCAUGUGUAGCGGUGGAAUGCGUAGAUAUAUGGAAGAACACCAGUGGCGAAGGCGGCUCUCUGGUCUGCAACUGACGCUGAGGCUCGAAAGCAUGGGUAGCGAACAGGAUUAGAUACCCUGGUAGUCCAUGCCGUAAACGAUGAGCGCUAGGUGUUGGGGACUUUCCGGUCCUCAGUGCCGCAGCAAACGCAUUAAGCGCUCCGCCUGGGGAGUACGACCGCAAGGUUGAAACUCAAAGGAAUUGACGGGGGCCCGCACAAGCGGUGGAGCAUGUGGUUUAAUUCGAAACAACGCGAAGAACCUUACCAGGUCUUGACAUCUAGUGCCAUCCUAAGAGAUUAGGAGUUCCCUUCGGGGACGCUAAGACAGGUGGUG
Molecule: ribosomal RNA, 524 nt
Filed under: uncultured bacterium
Lineage: Bacteria
Description: bacterial SSU rRNA
Rfam family: Bacterial small subunit ribosomal RNA
Source: RNAcentral